UGGGGAAUUUUGGACAAUGGGGGAAACCCUGAUCCAGCCAUCCCGCGUGUGCGAUGAAGGCCUUCGGGUCGUAAAGCACUUUUGGCAGGAAAGAAACGUCAUGGGUUAAUACCCCGUGAAACUGACGGUACCUGCAGAAUAAGCACCGGCUAACUACGUGCCAGCAGCCGCGGUAAUACGUAGGGUGCAAGCGUUAAUCGGAAUUACUGGGCAUAAAGCGUGCGCAGGCGGUUCGGAAAGAAAGAUGUGAAAUCCCAGAGCUCAACUUUGGAACUGCAUUUUUAACUACCGGGCUAGAGUGUGUCAGAGGGAGGUGGAAUUCCGCGUGUAGCAGUGAAAUGCGUAGAUAUGCGGAGGAACACCGAUGGCGAAGGCAGCCUCCUGGGAUAACACUGACGCUCAUGCACGAAAGCGUGGGGAGCAAACAGG
Molecule: ribosomal RNA, 429 nt
Filed under: Acidobacteriota bacterium
Lineage: Bacteria; Pseudomonadati; Acidobacteriota
Description: Acidobacteria bacterium partial 16S ribosomal RNA
Rfam family: Bacterial small subunit ribosomal RNA
Source: RNAcentral